GAACGAGAAAGUGGAGCAAUCCAUGAGUACAGUGGCGACCGGGUGAGUAACACGUGACUAACCUACCCUCGAGCGGGGGAUAACCCCGGGAAACCGGGGCUAAUACCGCAUAACGUAUUCGAUGCGAAAGUAUUGAGGAUCAAAGGAGCAAUUCACUUGAGGAGGGGGUCGCGGCCGAUUAGCUAGUUGGCGGGGUAACGGCCCACCAAGGCUGAGAUCGGUAGCCGGCCUGAGAGGGCGCACGGCCACACUGGAACUGAAACACGGUCCAGACUCCUACGGGAGGCAGCAGUGGGGAAUUUUGCGCAAUGGGGGGAACCCUGACGCAGCAACGCCGCGUGGAGGAUGAAGUCCCUUGGGACGUAAACUCCUUUCGACCGGGAAGAUAAUGACGGUAUCGGAAGAAGAAGCACCGGCUAACUUUGUGCCAGCAGCCGCGGU
This 441-nucleotide ribosomal RNA is filed under the name uncultured bacterium. RNAcentral describes it as "bacterial SSU rRNA". It matches the Rfam family "Bacterial small subunit ribosomal RNA", at positions 64 to 521 of the family's 1533-position model. The record is from RNAcentral.